Bison bison bison is the source of this 61-nucleotide microRNA precursor. The record is from Ensembl. NCBI's taxonomy places the organism in Eukaryota, Metazoa, Chordata, Mammalia, Artiodactyla, Bovidae.
UACAGCAUACUGAUUUGACUUACAUCAUGAAAUGUAUGUAAGUCAAAUCAGUAUGCUGUAC